This 371-nucleotide ribosomal RNA is filed under the name uncultured bacterium. Its description in RNAcentral is "bacterial SSU rRNA". It matches the Rfam family "Bacterial small subunit ribosomal RNA", at positions 527 to 896 of the family's 1533-position model. The record is from RNAcentral.
GUAAGGGGCGAGCGUUGUUCGGAUUUACUGGGCGUAAAGGGUGCCUAGGCGGCAUGCUAAGUCGGAAGUGAAAUCCCCCGGUCCAACUGGGGAACUGCUUUCGAAACUGGCGUGCUUGAGUACGGGAGAGGAGAGCGGAAUUCUCGGUGUAGCGGUGGAAUGCGUAGAUAUCGAGAAGAACACUCGUGGCGAAGGCGGCUCUCUGGAACGAUACUGACGCUGAAGCACGAAAGCCAGGGGAGCAAACGGGAUUAGAUACCCCGGUAGUCCUGGCCGUAAACUAUGUACACUUGGUGUAGGAGGUAUCGACCCCUCCUGUGCCGAAGCUAACGCAUUAAGUGUACCGCCUGGGGAGUACAGUCGCAAGGCUG